AAUGUGACACUCAAGUAUGAAAUCAAGAAGCUCAUCUACAUGCAUUUCCUAUCAGUUGCCAAGAGGAGCAUGGGACACUCGAGGUAAUUGUGAAAUUAUCAGUUGGCUAUGCCCUACCACUGGGAAUAUCAAUAUUUGUUGAUCAUUGUGCCCUCUAUUUUGGGCCUUCUCUCCUUCCUUCAAAAUAAUAUUAGCUUCCUUGUGGUCUCCAUGAUCAGAUCAGCAUGGGGUUCUUUUCUAUCCAUACCCUCAUUGAUGGCAACACAGAGAUGUGCCCUGCCACACAGCAACUCUACCAUCAUGGCAACGCCUGCCACUUCAUGUUUGGUUUUUCUGUUGUCUCUGUUAUAUACCUGGUGUUUGUACUGACAAUCCAAGUUUGUGUCUGGCAAUUGUACUACAGCAAGAAACUCUUUAUCUCUUGGUUCACCAGCACACAAGAGAAGAAGUAUAGAUGAAGCCUGUUUGAUG
RNAcentral lists this long non-coding RNA (471 nucleotides) under Mus musculus (house mouse). RNAcentral's name for it is "long non-coding RNA chrX:88613356-88613827". Lineage: Eukaryota; Metazoa; Chordata; Mammalia; Rodentia; Muridae. The record is from RNAcentral.